AGAGUUUGAUCCUGGCUCAGGAUGAACGCUAGCGACAGGCUUAACACAUGCAAGUCGAGGGGCAGCGAGGGCGUAGCAAUACGCCUGUCGGCGACCGGCGCACUGGUGAGUAACACGUAUGCGACCUGCCCCCUACAGGGGUAUAACCCGUAGAAAUGCGGACUAAUCCCCCAUAGUCCUGGGUGCUGCAUGGCAUUCAGGGGAAAGGCCAGCCGGUAGGGGAUGGGCAUGCGGCGCAUUAGCUAGUUGGCGGGGCAACGGCCCACCAAGGCGACGAUGCGUAGGGGUUCUGAGAGGAAGGUCCCCCACACUGGUACUGAGACACGGACCAGACUCCUACGGGAGGCAGCAGUGAGGAAUAUUGGUCAAUGGGCGCAGGCCUGAACCAGCCAAGUCGCGUGAGGGAGGACGGUCCUACGGAUUGUAAACCUCUUCUGUCGGGGAGUAACGUGCGGGACGCGUCCCGUAUUGAGAGU
This 476-nucleotide ribosomal RNA is filed under the name uncultured bacterium. RNAcentral's name for it is "bacterial SSU rRNA". It matches the Rfam family "Bacterial small subunit ribosomal RNA", at positions 8 to 476 of the family's 1533-position model. The record is from RNAcentral.